GAUGAACGCUGGCGGCGUGCCUAAUACAUGCAAGUCGAGCGAACAGAUGAGGAGCUUGCUCCUCUGACGUUAGCGGCGGACGGGUGAGUAACACGUGGAUAACCUACCUAUAAGACUGGGAUAACUUCGGGAAACCGGAGCUAAUACCGGAUAAUAUAUUGAACCGCAUGGUUCAAUAGUGAAAGACGGUUUUGCUGUCACUUAUAGAUGGAUCCGCGCCGCAUUAGCUAGUUGGUAAGGUAACGGCUUACCAAGGCAACGAUGCGUAGCCGACCUGAGAGGGUGAUCGGCCACACUGGACCUGGGACACGGGCCAGACUCCUACGGGAGGCAGCAGUAGCGAAUCUUCCGCAAUGGGCGAAAGCCUGACGGAGCAACGCCGCGUGAGUGAUGAAGGUCUUCGGAUCGUAAAACUCGGUUAUUAGGGAAGAACAAAUGUGUAAGUAACUAUGCACGUCUUGACGGUACCUAAUCAGAAAGCCACGGCUAACUACGUG
Molecule: ribosomal RNA, 497 nt
Filed under: uncultured bacterium
Lineage: Bacteria
Description: partial 16S ribosomal RNA
Rfam family: Bacterial small subunit ribosomal RNA
Source: RNAcentral